This 305-nucleotide ribosomal RNA is filed under the name uncultured bacterium. Its description in RNAcentral is "bacterial SSU rRNA". It matches the Rfam family "Bacterial small subunit ribosomal RNA", at positions 333 to 637 of the family's 1533-position model. The record is from RNAcentral.
CGGUUCCUACGGGGGGCAGCAGUGGGGAAUAUUGCACAAUGGGGGAAACCCUGAUGCAGCGACGCCGCGUGAGUGAAGAAGUAAUUCGUUGCGUAAAGCUCUAUCAGCAGGGAAGAAAUACUGACCUUACGGUCAGCAGACGGUACCUGAGUAAGAAGCCCCGGCUAACUACGUGCCAGCAGCCGCGGUAAUACGUAGGGGGCAAGCGUUAUCCGGAUUUACUGGGUGUAAAGGGAGCGUAGGUGGCAGGGCAAGUCAGAUGUGAAAACCCGGGGCUCAACUCCGGGAGUGCAUUUGAAACUGUC